RNAcentral lists this non-coding RNA (81 nucleotides) under Mycobacterium kansasii. RNAcentral's name for it is "Fluoride sequence". It matches the Rfam family "Fluoride riboswitch aptamer (crcB RNA motif)". RNAcentral also lists the same sequence under 1 other name. Lineage: Bacteria; Bacillati; Actinomycetota; Actinomycetes; Mycobacteriales; Mycobacteriaceae. The record is from RNAcentral.
GGGUGUCGCGGCGAUGGAUGUCCGCCGGGAUCAUGUUGACUAUCCGAACCGCCCACACGGGAUGAUGACUCCUACCGAAUG